Molecule: small RNA, 534 nt
Filed under: Pongo abelii (Sumatran orangutan)
Lineage: Eukaryota; Metazoa; Chordata; Mammalia; Primates; Hominidae
Description: retained intron
Source: RNAcentral
GAGAAGUCCACAGUGCUGCAGUCUGAGCUGGAAUCCUGUAAGGAGCUGCAGGAGCUGGAGCCUGAGAAUAAAUGUAAGGCCCCAUUCCAUGAGAGUCUGCUCCCAGAGCCCGCUGAGGAAACCCCUUUCCAGUGUGGCCCUGAGAGAUCAGCAGGAAGACCUCAGGAGGAUGGGAGCAGAGGAGGAUCCAGGAGAAACCCUCCUUUUCCCUGCCCUCUCCUCAGGGUGCCUGCUUACCAUCAUCCUGCUGAUGCGGGCACUGGACCCCCUGCUGUAUGAGAAGGAGACUCUGCAGUACUUCCAGACCCUCAAGGCCGUGGACCCCAUGCGGGCAGCGUAUCUGGAUGACCUGCGCAGCAAGUUCUUGCUGGAGAAUAGCGUGCUCAAGAUGGAGUAUGCCGAGGUGCGUGUGCUGCACCUGGCUCACAAGGAUCUGACAGUGCUCUGCCAUCUGGAACAGCUGCUCUUGGUCACCCAUCUUGACCUGUCACACAAUCGUCUCCGAACCCUGCCACCUGCACUGGCUGCCCUGCG